UCCGGUGGGUAGAGUCGGGCGUCGGUCGGACCGACCCGAAGAUAAGUCGGCGUACUUGGGUCAGUCGGUAUAUCCCAACAAGGACCAUGCAAUGGCUUCUUUCCUAUCUUGUGAUGGAGCUCGUCCGUUGUAGAAGUUCAUCUGGAAUCCAAUUAUGUUGUAGAAGUUCGGACGGAGUCCAGUUCUUGUAGGAGUCCGGAAGGAGGUCGUUUACGGUAGAAGCUCGGAUGGAGGUCGGUUGCCGUGGAAGUCUGGAUGGAGACCGCUUAUUGUAGAAACUCGGAUGGAGGUCGAUUGCCGUGGAAGCCCGGAUGGAGAUCGCUUAUUGUAGAAGCUCGGAUGGAGGCCGCUUGCCGUGGAAGCCCGGAUGGAGACCACUUAUUGUAGAAGCUCGGAUGGAGGCUGGUUGUCGUGGAAGUCCAGA
Molecule: long non-coding RNA, 424 nt
Filed under: Elaeis guineensis (African oil palm)
Lineage: Eukaryota; Viridiplantae; Streptophyta; Magnoliopsida; Arecales; Arecaceae
Description: long non-coding RNA (EGUI_LNC061337)
Source: RNAcentral